GACGAACGCUGGCGGCGUGCCUAAUACAUGCAAGUAGAACGCUGAAGGAGGAGCUUGCUUCUCUGGAUGAGUUGCGAACGGGUGAGUAACGCGUAGGUAACCUGCCUGGUAGCGGGGGAUAACUAUUGGAAACGAUAGCUAAUACCGCAUAAGAGUAGAUGUUGCAUGACAUUUGCUUAAAAGGUGCAAUUGCAUCACUACCAGAUGGGCCUGCGUUGUAUUAGCUAGUUGGUGGGGUAACGGCUCACCAAGGCGACGAUACAUAGCCGACCUGAGAGGGUGAUCGGCCACACUGGGACUGAGACACGGCCCAGACUCCUACGGGAGGCAGCAGUAGGGAAUCUUCGGCAAUGGACGGAAGUCUGACCGAGCAACGCCGCGUGAGUGAAGAAGGUUUUCGGAUCGUAAAGCUCGGUUGUAAGAGAAGAACGAGUGUGAGAGUGGAAAGUUCACACUGUGACGGUAUCUUACCAGAAAGGGACGGCUAACUACGUG
Molecule: ribosomal RNA, 495 nt
Filed under: uncultured bacterium
Lineage: Bacteria
Description: partial 16S ribosomal RNA
Rfam family: Bacterial small subunit ribosomal RNA
Source: RNAcentral